CGGGGCGUGGUGUAACGGCUAACAUGCCUGUUUUGGGUACAGGUGACUCCCGGUUCGAAUCCGGGCGCCCCGACAA
RNAcentral lists this transfer RNA (76 nucleotides) under Candidatus Wildermuthbacteria bacterium RIFCSPHIGHO2_01_FULL_45_20. RNAcentral's name for it is "tRNA-Pro". It matches the Rfam family "tRNA". Rfam says of the family: Transfer RNA (tRNA) molecules are approximately 80 nucleotides in length. Lineage: Bacteria; Candidatus Wildermuthiibacteriota. The record is from RNAcentral. RNAcentral also lists the same sequence under 1 other name.